GAACUAGUUGUUGUGUGUUUCUGAAUCAGCAAUCCAUUAAAGUGAUUGAUCCAUUGAUAAACAGCAUCAUGAGAGGAAUCCAAGUCCCUGUUGGAGUCAGUCAGAGCAUUUCCAUAGAGAGCCACUUUGCAUCAGCAGCACCAUGCUCCAGUGCUCUGGGAGAGUUUAUAGUCCUGAGAGUUGAACACUGGAUGACUGACAGCUGUCCUUCAUGACAACAGAAGACACAGAAAUCCUCCUCAUCAAAAACAUGACUUUGAUCUCCGUCCUCAUCUGGACUCUCCUCUGCUGCUGCUUCACAGAGUCCAGAGGCCAGGUCACAGUGACUCAGUCUGGAGCAGUGAGCUCUGCUCUGGGACGCUCCGUCACCAUCACAUGUAGGACCAGUCAGAACAUCUAUAGUUCUUCCUCUUUAUCCUGGUACCAACAGAGAGAUGGAGAAACUCCUAAACUGCUCAUUUACUAUGCUAGCACUCAAGCAUCAGGGAUUCCAGGUCGUUUUACAGGCAGUGGAUCAAACUCUGACUUCACUCUGACCAUCAGUGGAGUCCAGACUGAAGAUGCAGCAGUUUACUACUGCAUAGGUGGUCAUUACAUCAACAGUCAGUGGUUGUUCACACAGUGA
Non-coding RNA from Dicentrarchus labrax (European seabass), 625 nucleotides. The record is from the annotation of a RefSeq genome assembly. Lineage: Eukaryota; Metazoa; Chordata; Actinopteri; Moronidae.